GGAAGGAUGGUCGAGUGGUUUAAGGCAACGGUCUUGAAAACCGUCGAGUGUAACAGCUCCCAGAGUUCGAAUCUCUGUCCUUCCGCCA
This 88-nucleotide transfer RNA is filed under the name Serratia symbiotica SCt-VLC. Its description in RNAcentral is "transfer RNA Serine". It matches the Rfam family "tRNA". Rfam says of the family: Transfer RNA (tRNA) molecules are approximately 80 nucleotides in length. Their secondary structure includes four short double-helical elements and three loops (D, anti-codon, and T loops). The record is from RNAcentral. Lineage: Bacteria; Pseudomonadati; Pseudomonadota; Gammaproteobacteria; Enterobacterales; Yersiniaceae.